GCCCAUUAACAUAAUUGCAGAGAGAUCAGCAGCCUUGGCUUAAGUAGUGGUCCAAAGUCGGUAAAUAAAACCCAAUUGUCUUCACAUCUUUUGAAGGAAUUAACCCAAAUAAAGAAAUAAAUAAGAGUAAUUGAAGCCAAUAGGGUUUUAAAAAGGGGACCAACAUCAUCAAUUAAAAUAGAGGGGCGUGAAAAGCCGACUUGGAGAAAAGAAGGAGCAGCGGCACUUGGAGAAAAAAGGAGCAUCAACUUUGAUUUAUUUUCCCUUUUAAUGGUACAAAAUAGUUUAUUGUUAUUUUCUUUUCUUCUAGCAAUUCAUGAGUUCUUUGAUUUUGAAUAGUAAUGAGAAUAUUGUUUCUGAUUUUGAGUUGUUUAGAUAUUGUGAUUCAAAACUUAUUUAUUAUUAUUUUUAUUCCCUCUUCUUCUUAAAUUAAUUGGUACAUUCAAGUGAGUAAUCUGUUUAGUUAAUUAUGCAUUAUAUUAUUAUAUUUUGUGUUCUAAUUUUGAGCAUGCGAGGCUAGAUUAUUUUCUAGGGUUGAGAAUGAAUAUAACUGAUUGAUUCCGUUGCACAUAUUCAUGUCGAUUUAUUCUACCAAUUUAGUGCUUUCGCGUUAAAAAAUAAUUCUUUCUAUUGGAUUUCUAUUUUUAUUGAUAAAAAAUAAGGUUGGAUUCUUAUUAUUAUUUUAUGGGAUUCAAUUUAUAAUUUGUUAAAAGCGGAUAUAAACUGUGUUUUGAUGAAAAUAAUGAGUGUUUUGAUUUUAUACAUAUGUUUGGCUAAUGGAAGAAUUAACAAUCCGAUUUUACAAAUUAAUUGGACUUAAUUUAUUUUAUUUUCCGCAUCUAAUAAAGUCGAGAGACCAAAUUAGUGCAAGAUAAAAAAGUAGAGUUUAUCAGGCAUGAAUAUUAGGAAGAUGAUAUCAAUUAUAUGAUUCCGCUACCCUAGUAUUUUAUCAUUGAUUAUUUUAUUUGCCUAUUUUUAGUUGAUAAAAAUUCCCUCAAAAUUUCUAAGCUAGAUUAGGAAUUUAUUAGAAUUAGUGAGUGAGAUAAACACGUUUCAUCUGUUAAGUCCUUAGGGUUUGACCUCGCACUUGUAAGCUAUACUAAGUAUUCGAUUAGUGCACUUGCGAGUAUAUAAAACAUUCACAACAGAUGUUGCACCUAACAAAAAGGGAUUGAUACACAUCAUGUUUGACUCUGUAGAGACUCUAAAUGCUCUCGAGUCUGAUGACCUCUCAAUAGAAAACUAAAAGAGUUCAUAGAGCUUGGAGAGGAGGAAGGGGGCAUAAAAUAUAGAAAAAUUGCUUAAUUUUGUAGGUUGAAUAUGAAUUAUCAUAAUAUUUGACUUUUAGGGCAUGUUGGACGACGGACAAGAAAUAGCUAUGAAGAGGCUCUCUAAGAAUUCGAGCCAAGGACUAGAUGAGUUCAAGAAUGAAGUUUUAUGUAUUGCCAAACUUCAUCACAGAAAUCUUGUGACGUUUUUCGGGUGCUGCACUAAAAAAAGGGGAAAAGAUAUUGAUCUACGAAUACAUGUCCAACAAACGUUUAGAUCAUUUUAUUUUAGGUAUGGCCCCUCCUAAAAUGUUGAUACAUAAUUUAAACUUUUGGAUAGUUUGAAAAAUUAAAUAGUGUAAUCAUGUUAUUUCCCUUAGGCACUAUCCCUUAUAUCAUCCAUCUUCACUAUAAUAUAAAUAUGACAAUUGACUAGUCGGCACCUAUAGGAAGAUGAUUACCUAAUUUUUGCUCUCUUUCUGAACCUGGAAUUGGCCAAGCUGUAUGUCAUUGCGUAGCUUUCGGAAAGAGUUUUUCGAAAUGGUAUAACGCGUCUCCUAAUUUUUCUCGGAUUGAAAGUUGUGGACAUUUUAGAGCGUGCAACACGAAAAGCCGACUACACUACACAAAAACCGAGGCAGGUGGGCCCCACCCAAGCAAGCCGCAGGUUGACUAGUAGCUAGGCCCGUGGCUUAUAUAAGGCAGUUUUCAGCCAUUUUUGUAAAAGAAAGAAAGAAAAAAGAGAAAUUUGAGCAAAAAAGAGAAUUUUAGAGAGAAGUGGGAGAAUCUUAGAGAGAGAAAAUCCAAAUUCAAUCUAGAUUUAAUAUUGGAAACUGAUAUUUCCCCAACAAAAUCGUAGCUAUAGAUCAUAUUGCGACAUUUUUAUUGUGAAAAUAUCAAAAAGUGUUGUGAAAAUAUCAGUUUCCUUAUUAUAUUACAUCAAAUUUUUAGUUAAAUUCUUAUAUCAUUGUCAUCAUCCUCAUGUUUAUAUUUUUUGAAAGUCAUCUGUGGCCUGUAGUGCAUACAUGGACUUGGUAUGAUUAUGACCAAGGAUUAUUCGGUAUAAUCAUGACCGUAAUGUUACAAAUGAUGUGAUAAAAGUCCCCAUUGGCCCGUAGUGCAUUGAUGGACAGUUGUUGACAUGAUCAUGACCAUUGAUGAAUACAUGAAUAUCCUUGGCCCGUAGUGCAUGGAUAAUUUGUGGUCGUGACCCUAAUGAAUAUCCUUGGCCGUAGUGCAGGGAUGAUGUGGAUUAUUUAUUAAGCUGAGUCUCAGCGAUAAAAGUGAUGAAAAACUUUUUAAAUCAUAAAAGAUAGUAGAUUUUAUUCUCUACUUGACUCUUUUAAUGGAUUGCUUAUUCCGCUGCAGUUAAACUUGUUGUCUAUUGUAUUUUAUCAGUUUAACAUUGUUGAAGGCUAAUGAUAAUUUAUCCUGCAUUAUCUUAGUCAUAAUAUUUCUUACUGGGCUAGUUGAGCUCACCCUUUCUUUCACUAUUCUCUUCAGGAAAUGAGAACGUAACAGGGACUAGUCAGGGAACGGAGUGAUGGUCCAGAUGAUAGCAUUAGUAGUCCUCACUAUUCUAUGAAAUAGUGUGAUAAUUAUUGUAAUGAUGACUUAUUCUGAGAGUGGAUAUUGUCUAGAAGACAAUAUUUGUAUUAAAACUCACAGCUUUUGUUGUAUAUUUAAGAUUGUAUUUAUAUUCUGUACCAUGUAUCUGGCGACCCAAGAUGGGUGAUGUAUACCUAUUUUGGGGGCGUCACAUUUAUCCUUUCGUGAGACUCUUGUUCUUUCAUUUAUAGAGUUUUUCAUACAUAUAUGUGAGAGACAAUUGAAGUUGAAUACAUUUACUCUUUAUAGCCCACAUGUAAUGAGAGCAUUUACACUCUAUUCUUGAGUGUUUCAUUUAUUGAGUGUAUGUCAAGUGAGGAGUUGAG
RNAcentral lists this long non-coding RNA (3202 nucleotides) under Panax ginseng (ginseng). RNAcentral's name for it is "long non-coding RNA (PGIN_LNC007169)". Lineage: Eukaryota; Viridiplantae; Streptophyta; Magnoliopsida; Apiales; Araliaceae. The record is from RNAcentral.